This 499-nucleotide ribosomal RNA is filed under the name uncultured bacterium. RNAcentral's name for it is "bacterial SSU rRNA". It matches the Rfam family "Bacterial small subunit ribosomal RNA", at positions 25 to 518 of the family's 1533-position model. The record is from RNAcentral.
CAGGAUGAACGCUAGCGACAGGCCUAACACAUGCAAGUCGAGGGGCAGCACAAGGAGCAAUCUGAGGUGGCGACCGGCGCACGGGUGAGUAACACGUAUGCAACCUGCCUGUAAGCGGGGAAUAACCCGUUGAAAGACGGACUAAUACCGCAUAAUACUAAAUUACUGCAUGGUAAUUUAUUUAAACAUUUAUGGCUUACAGAUGGGCAUGCGCAUGAUUAGCUAGUUGGAGAGGUAACGGCUCCCCAAGGCAACGAUCAUUAGGGGUUCUGAGAGGAAGGUCCCCCACACUGGUACUGAGACACGGACCAGACUCCUACGGGAGGCAGCAGUGACGGAAUAUUGGUCAAUGGACGAGAGUCUGAACCAGCCAAGUCGCGUGCAGGAAGAAUGUCCUAUGGAUUGUAAACUGCUUUUGCAGGGGAAUAAAGUGCAUCACGUGUGAUGUUUUGUAUGUACUCUGCGAAUAAGGAUCGGCUAACUCCGUGCCAGCCGCGGC